This 446-nucleotide ribosomal RNA is filed under the name uncultured bacterium. RNAcentral describes it as "SSU rRNA". It matches the Rfam family "Bacterial small subunit ribosomal RNA", at positions 26 to 518 of the family's 1533-position model. The record is from RNAcentral.
AGAGCGAACGCUGGCGGCAGGCCUAACACAUGCAAGUCGAGCGCCCGUAGCAAUACGGGAGCGGCAGACGGGAGAGUAACACGUGGGAACGUACCCUUCAGUUCGGAAUAACCCAGGGAAACUUGGACUAAUACCGAAUACGUCCGUAAGGAGAAAGAUUUAUCGCUGAAGGAUCGGCCCGCGUCUGAUUAGCUUGUUGGUGAGGUAACGGCUCACCAAGGCGACGAUCAGUAGCUGGUCUGAGAGGAUGAUCAGCCUCACUGGGACUGAGACACGGCCCAGACUCCUACGGGAGGCAGCAGUGGGGAAUAUUGGACAAUGGGCGCAAGCCUGAUCCAGCCAUGCCGCGUGGAUGAUGAAGGCCCUAGGGUGUAAAGUCCUUUCGACGGGGAAGAUAAUGACGGUACCGUAGAAGAAGCCCCGGCUAACUUCGUGCCAGCAGCCGC